GCUGGCGGCGUGCCUAAUACAUGCAAGUCGUACGAGUUCUCGUUGAUGAUCGGUGCUUGCACCGAGAUUCAACAUGGAACGAGUGGCGGACGGGUGAGUAACACGUGGGUAACCUGCCCUUAAGUGGGGGAUAACAUUUGGAAACAGAUGCUAAUACCGCAUAGAUCCAAGAACCGCAUGGUUCUUGGCUGAAAGAUGGCGUAAGCUAUCGCUUUUGGAUGGACCCGCGGCGUAUUAGCUAGUUGGUGAGGUAAUGGCUCACCAAGGCGAUGAUACGUAGCCGAACUGAGAGGUUGAUCGGCCACAUUGGGACUGAGACACGGCCCAAACUCCUACGGGAGGCAGCAGUAGGGAAUCUUCCACAAUGGACGCAAGUCUGAUGGAGCAACGCCGCGUGAGUGAAGAAGGCUUUCGGGUCGUAAAACUCUGUUGUUGGAGAAGAAUGGUCGGCAGAGUAACUGUUGUCGGCGUGACGGUAUCCAACCAGAAAGCCACGGCUAACUACGUGCCAGCAGCCGCGGUAAUACGUAGGUGGCAAGCGUUAUCCGGAUUUAUUGGGCGUAAAGCGAGCGCAGGCGGUUUUUUAAGUCUGAUGUGAAAGCCCUCGGCUUAACCGAGGAAGCGCAUCGGAAACUGGGAAACUUGAGUGCAGAAGAGGACAGUGGA
RNAcentral lists this ribosomal RNA (666 nucleotides) under Lacticaseibacillus paracasei. Its description in RNAcentral is "bacterial SSU rRNA". It matches the Rfam family "Bacterial small subunit ribosomal RNA", at positions 35 to 665 of the family's 1533-position model. The record is from RNAcentral. Lineage: Bacteria; Bacillati; Bacillota; Bacilli; Lactobacillales; Lactobacillaceae.